CAGUCGGUGACGAGGUGGUGCAUGGUUGUCGUCAGCUCGUGUCGUGAGAUGUUGGGUUAAGUCCCGCAACGAGCGCAACCCCUAUUGUUAGUUGCCAUCAUUCAGUUGGGCACUCUAGCGAGACUGCCGGUAAUAAACCGGAGGAAGGUGGGGAUGACGUCAAAUCAUCAUGCCCCUUAUGACCUGGGCUACACACGUGCUACAAUGGUUGGUACAACGAGUUGCGAGUCGGUGACGGCGAGCUAAUCUCUUAAAGCCAAUCUCAGUUCGGAUUGUAGGCUGCAACUCGCCUACAUGAAGUCGGAAUCGCUAGUAAUCGCGGAUCAGCACGCCGCGGUGAAUACGUUCCCGGGCCUU
RNAcentral lists this ribosomal RNA (357 nucleotides) under uncultured Streptococcus sp. RNAcentral's name for it is "bacterial SSU rRNA". It matches the Rfam family "Bacterial small subunit ribosomal RNA", at positions 1024 to 1382 of the family's 1533-position model. Lineage: Bacteria; Bacillati; Bacillota; Bacilli; Lactobacillales; Streptococcaceae. The record is from RNAcentral.